UACGUAGGGGGCAAGCGUUAUCCGGAAUUACUGGGUGUAAAGGGAGCGUAGGCGGGGAUGCAAGUUGGGUGUCAAAACUACCGGCUCAACUGGUAGUCGCACUCAAAACUGCAACUCUUGAGUGAAGUAGAGGCAGGCGGAAUUCCUAGUGUAGCGGUGAAAUGCGUAGAUAUUAGGAGGAACACCAGUGGCGAAGGCGGCUUACUGGACUGUAACUGACGUUGAGGCUCGAAAGCGUGGGGAGCAAACAGG
RNAcentral lists this ribosomal RNA (252 nucleotides) under uncultured Ruminococcus sp. RNAcentral's name for it is "partial 16S ribosomal RNA". It matches the Rfam family "Bacterial small subunit ribosomal RNA", at positions 524 to 776 of the family's 1533-position model. The record is from RNAcentral. Lineage: Bacteria; Bacillati; Bacillota; Clostridia; Eubacteriales; Oscillospiraceae.